GGGGGUAUAGCUCAGCUGGGAGAGCAGCAGACUGAAGUGGAGCGAGUGCAGACAUGCCGAUCCGAAAACUUUGUGUUCUGAAGGUCCCGCGUUCGAUCCGCGGUACCCCCA
This is a non-coding RNA of Marasmius sp. AFHP31, 111 nucleotides long. NCBI's taxonomy places the organism in Eukaryota, Fungi, Basidiomycota, Agaricomycetes, Agaricales, Marasmiaceae. The record is from the annotation of a GenBank genome assembly.